Long non-coding RNA from Triticum aestivum (bread wheat), 450 nucleotides. RefSeq lists it as uncharacterized. Lineage: Eukaryota; Viridiplantae; Streptophyta; Magnoliopsida; Poales; Poaceae. The record is from RefSeq and is a predicted model, not a curated record. The transcript has 2 exons.
UGCAUCCUUUUUAUUAUUGGACAUCCAUAAUACUAUUACCACAUUACAAGUUAUCCUCACAUUCUUCCCACCGAAAUCCACCUUAAAGGAGGCACAUCGAAGCUGCAAGAACCAAAUCCGUCAUCCAUGACGAAGCCUCUACCCAUGGCCAACAUCUUCCUCUGUUUCCUUCUGCUAUCAUCGCUCAUCGCUUCGCCUCUGGAGUCCGCAAGGAUCGUCCACGAACACCGCGCCCACAUCGUUGCAGGUGAGGAGAUGCCUGAUCGCCAUCUACCCGACGUGUUUGGGGAAAUCAAGAGGGCGCAGCCCCGCCAAUUCGCGCCGCCGUCGCCACAAGCGAACGAGCAACGCUACCCCCCGAUCUGGCAUGGUGGAUCCCCCUCUGUCUAACUGUUUGUGACUCUAUGCAGACCUGAUCGAAAAAUAAUAACAUGAGAAUUCUGUGCUUCA